This 85-nucleotide transfer RNA is filed under the name Clostridiales bacterium. Its description in RNAcentral is "tRNA-Leu". It matches the Rfam family "tRNA". Rfam says of the family: Transfer RNA (tRNA) molecules are approximately 80 nucleotides in length. Their secondary structure includes four short double-helical elements and three loops (D, anti-codon, and T loops). The record is from RNAcentral. Lineage: Bacteria; Bacillati; Bacillota; Clostridia; Eubacteriales. RNAcentral also lists the same sequence under 7 other names.
GCGGGUAUGAUGAAAUUGGUAAACAUGCUGGAUUUAGGUUCCAGUGCCGCAAGGCUUGUGGGUUCGAGUCCCACUACCCGUACCA